CUCCCUACGGGAGGCAGCAGUGGGGAAUAUUGCACAAUGGGGGAAACCCUGAUGCAGCGACGCCGCGUGAGUGAGGAAGUAUUUCGGUAUGUAAAGCUCUAUCAGCAGGGAAGAAAAUGACGGUACCUGACUAAGAAGCCCCGGCUAACUACGUGCCAGCAGCCGCGGUAAUACGUAGGGGGCACGCGUUAUCCGGAUUUACUGGGUGUAAAGGGAGCGUAGACGGAGGAGCAAGUCUGAUGUGAAAGAUCGGGGCUCAACCCCGGGCCUGCAUUGGAAACUGUUAAGCUGGAGUACAGGAGAGG
RNAcentral lists this ribosomal RNA (305 nucleotides) under uncultured bacterium. Its description in RNAcentral is "bacterial SSU rRNA". It matches the Rfam family "Bacterial small subunit ribosomal RNA", at positions 335 to 657 of the family's 1533-position model. The record is from RNAcentral.